GAUGUAUAGGAGCUGACGCCUGCCCGGUGCUGGAAGGUUAAGGGGAGCUGUUAGAGCAAUCGAAGCAGUGAACUUAAGCCCCAGUAAACGGCGGCCGUAACUAUACCGGUCCUAAGGUAGCGAAAUUCCUUGUCGGGUAAGUUCCGACCCGCACGAAAGGCGUAACGAUUUGGGCACUGUCUCAACAACAGACUCGGUGAAAUUGUAAUUCCGGUGAAGAUGCCGGAUACCUGCGACAGGACGGAAAGACCCCAUGG
This 257-nucleotide ribosomal RNA is filed under the name Clostridioides difficile. Its description in RNAcentral is "partial 23S ribosomal RNA". It matches the Rfam family "Bacterial large subunit ribosomal RNA", at positions 1840 to 2096 of the family's 2925-position model. Lineage: Bacteria; Bacillati; Bacillota; Clostridia; Peptostreptococcales; Peptostreptococcaceae. The record is from RNAcentral.